UACGUAGGGUCCGAGCGUUGUCCGGAAUUACUGGGCGUAAAGGGCGCGUAGGCGGACAGUUUAGUCAGAGGUGAAAGCCCAGGGCUCAACCUUGGAAUUGCCUUUGAUACUGACUGUCUUGAGUUCGGGAGAGGUGAGUGGAAUGCCGAGUGUAGAGGUGAAAUUCGUAGAUAUUCGGCGGAACACCAGUGGCGAAGGCGACUCACUGGCCCGAUACUGACGCUGAGGCGCGAAAGCGUGGGGAGCAAACAGG
This 253-nucleotide ribosomal RNA is filed under the name uncultured bacterium. Its description in RNAcentral is "partial 16S ribosomal RNA". It matches the Rfam family "Bacterial small subunit ribosomal RNA", at positions 524 to 776 of the family's 1533-position model. The record is from RNAcentral.